Molecule: ribosomal RNA, 451 nt
Filed under: uncultured bacterium
Lineage: Bacteria
Description: partial 16S ribosomal RNA
Rfam family: Bacterial small subunit ribosomal RNA
Source: RNAcentral
AACGAACGCUGGCGGCAGGCUUAACACAUGCAAGUCGAACGGGUGCAGCAAUGCACCAGUGGCAGACGGGUGAGUAACACGUGGGAACCUUCCUAGGGGUACGGAACAACUCAGGGAGACUUGAGCUAAUACCGUAUACGUCCGUGAGGAGAAAGAUUUAUCGCCCUUAGACGGGCCCGCGUCGGAUUAGCUAGUUGGUGGGGUAACGGCCUACCAAGGCGACGAUCCGUAGCUGAUCUUAGAGGAUGAUCAGCCACACUGGGACUGAGACACGGCCCAGACUCCUACGGGAGGCAGCAGUGGGGAAUCUUGGACAAUGGGCGCAAGCCUGAUCCAGCCAUGCCGCGUGAGUGAAGAAGGUCUUCGGAUUGUAAAGCUCUUUUGCCAGGGACGAUAAUGACGGUACCUGGAGAAUAAGCCCCGGCAAACUUCGUGCCAGCCGCCGCAGUAA